GUUACACGUUACCAAUACUGUUUUGCCCAAGCUGGAACGGGUUGUUGAGCGUAACCUUCUUCACCACGUGCGGCCCUGCCUGCCGGUGAUGCCGGGACUGGAAUGGAUGCCACAGCGAGCUGUUUCGCUGCUGUCGCUCGGUCGUGGGAGAGACUAGAUAAAAGCCAAAGACCGGAAAUACCAUUGCUUUGUGCCCCAGAGGAGCUCAGUGCACAACUGCGCGUCUUGCCCAACGCCGCGCGGGUGAGGCGGCAGCCCUCGCACCUCCGGGAACUGGAAGUCCACCUUUUGCUCUGCCGCGGUGAGAAGCAGCCAGCGACGAUGUCUACUGAGCGCUGGAGCGAGGAGAGUCCUCCUUUGCCGAGCAGGAAGCCUUGUGUGUGCGUAACCGCGCAUCCCAGCGCAGUUAUGAAUCCACUGAUGGGAGACCCUGUUGCUGUUGACUCCGCUCUCUGCACAACCUCGAGUAUGAAACAGGUUUCCAGAGAGACAAGGACGGGAUCAAAGUGGGAGCUUGCAGCUGCAGUGCCGAUUCGCUCAUGGCCAGCUUCAGCAAGGUUGGGUUGUUUUUUAUUUUUUUGAUUAAAGCCUCUGUUCUUCUUGUCUGGCUCAAUCACGCAUUCAGAAGCCUGAGAGUGGCAUUAAUAAGGCUAGCGCCACGUAUCUGUGAAAUAUUGGCCUCUCUGCAGAAAACAAUGGUUGCUAAGUUACAGUGCUCAUGUGUGUAAAAGAUAUUUAGUGAAAUCUUACACAACAGCCUUCAGUGCAGCCCAUCAAACAUUUGUUCUUGGGAGAACAUCUGAUUACUGAGUAUUUUUAGCAACUGACAUGUGUACAACACAUGCAUAUAAUUAUAUAUAGCUAUAUAUAGAGGUGCCUGUCUUAUUUACAGACACACACACACACACACACACACACACACACACACACUUUCUUGUAUAUGAGAAACAAGAACAGAUUGUUUUUAAUCCACCGAGUAUUUUUACAAUAGAGCAAUAUGACUGGAGCAAUAUGAUUUCUCUCUCUUUGCCAUGAACAUUUUCAUGCAAAUUUGUGCUUAUUUAUUCCUAUAUAGGAGAAACUCUUCUGACAAUGUGGGAAGGUGCUUUUUAUUGUGCAAUCACAACUGUUAGCAGCCUGAAUUAUUUCUGGUGGGGCCUGUCACUCCUCCAAGUACUGCUACUUCGUUUUUUAAUGCGGAGCUGUUGGAAGACACUGGCGCUGUCCUGCUUUGUCAGUCACAGAAGGCAAACUUGCCAUUAAAAAAAUUGUACGUAUGACCUUUGGAAGUGCCUGUUGCCUUUUCGUUCUUGGUGUGUGUUCUAAAGCAUAUUUUUUAAUGAAAGAGUGCUUCUGUGGUGCAUUAAAGAGGAACUGAGCCAUUCAUCUUGCCUACACUGUGCUUGCUUCUGCUGGGAAAGUCGUUCCCUACGGUCUGGUGGAAAACGCUGGGUCAGGAAGCACGUGGGCUAUCUGCUCGAUCUGGACCUGCAGCAAUUCAUCAAGUGCUUCAGAUCUGGAAACAAACUGUUGCCUUUAGUGCAAGUCCCGCUGACCCUCAGUCAGUAAAGUCAUCCAACAGUUUGUUUGUUUGUUUGUUUUUAAACUGUGCUUUCUCUAAAACGAAAAUAGCUCUAGGACGCAGGCACAGAGUAUUUUACACUUCCCAGCCCUGCCACCACCUCGGCAGCCCGGCUGUAGAGGCUGUAUCAGAGCUGUGAGCGAGCCCUUGAGGUGCAUCGGCGCAGCUGGCCCGUGACAGCUUUUUACCGCCAGCCGCCCGGCUGCCGUCAGCGCNNNNNNNNNNNNNNNNNNNNNNNNNNNNNNNNNNNNNNNNNNNNNNNNNNNNNNNNNNNNNNNNNNNNNNNNNNNNNNNNNNNNNNNNNNNNNNNNNNNNNNNNNNNNNNNNNNGAAAGCUUGGCUGGGCGAAGCGUAGAGGUGGCACCAAGACGAACUAAAGCAUUUGCCGCAUUAUGGGAGACGCAGGUCCCUAAGGACAGGAAUGAGGCUUGGUGGUCAUGGUGGUACGGCGUUUAUGCCUCCUUAUGAGUACUAGGAAACAGUAGUUUACAUUAGGAGUAGUGUGGCGAAUAAGGUGGCCCAACCCUGCCUUUGACCUCAUCUGUAACAGAAGGACCAGCUGUGACGGUGAAAACGAACAUAAACUACUGGCAUUUGCUAGCGCCAGCGCCGAUCCCAACUCUUAACAGAGAAGGCAGCAAUAAGCCGGGCUCUUGCACCGUCAUGUUCCCAAACACGAGCCCAGACCCUACGCAAACCUUAGGUCCGAUGCCGCCACAGGCGGUAGAGUUAGCUGUGGUUAGUCGUCGUCCGUUCGCACAAGGUGUAGAGGGUGACAAUGGGGGUGGCUCUUCUUGCUGACAUGAAAAAGCCUGUUUCAAGGUGUUUUGUAGAGGACUGAAUGUCUCUCACUGCACCUGAGGUUCAGGUGGAAGUUAGGGUUACAUUUCAGGAAAAGGCACAUCUGAAAUCCCGGGUUAACGCCAGGUCCUGCACGCAGUGAGCAGCGGCCUGUCAGCCGCGUGCCGAAACAAGGCUAGCCAGCCCGACGAGAUGAGCUGGAAACGCAGGCUGAAAAUGAUAAAAGCGGAAAGGAAACCAAGCCAAGUGAAUAUAAUACGUGAAAAUAGAUCUAGAAGUAGGAUUAAAAGGAAAGAGGACAGACCAAAUAAGAGCAAAUAGUCAUUUUUUUUCCAAAUUACUUCAAAGGUGGUUCACUGUAAGUUUUGAACUUUGUGAAAAUAUUUCACAAAUUCGAAUUUCCAGUGAAACCAGUUUUUCUGGAAAAUUCCUGACAGGUCCAGGGGGGUUUUCCCCGUCCUCUCUGUGCCGUACAGGCAGCCUCAGCAAAGGGCAGACCCUGCUUCCCUGCCUCCCGUGGCCGGGGGAAGGGGUCACGGCGGGUUUCGCAGCUCCCAGAGGGGCCCACGCUCCCCAUGCAGCGUGGGCCUUCGCAGUCAAAUAACCUGCAUACACUACACGUAAGCUCGGAUUUACCAUGUUUUGUCUCUGUGUUUUCAGUGCGAGCACAGCCCCAGUUCAUAACCCGCCCCCGGCGCUUGCAGACUGAGCUCGGCUGCGAGCGGCCUUUGCUGCUGGACAGUGCGUCUUCGCCUUGGGAGCUGCUGGCGCCCCGGCGGACCUGGGGCACUGCGUAAAGAGCAUAGCCCCCAAGCACUAUUUAAAAUAAACCCCAAUCUCUCCCCA
Molecule: long non-coding RNA, 3228 nt
Organism: Struthio camelus australis
Lineage: Eukaryota; Metazoa; Chordata; Aves; Struthioniformes; Struthionidae
Source: Ensembl